Molecule: long non-coding RNA, 1052 nt
Organism: Ictalurus punctatus (channel catfish)
Lineage: Eukaryota; Metazoa; Chordata; Actinopteri; Siluriformes; Ictaluridae
Source: Ensembl
GAGCAAGCUGGUGGCGAUGUUGACGAGGAAAAACUCCCUAAGAUGUUAUAAGGAACACAUACACUAGCUAACACUAGCUAACUCUUGCUACAUGGUGAAACUAGCUUAACUCCACAGAUGAUGCUAAUUAAAGGAACGUGUUAGACUAAGCAGUUUGGUCUUACUUAUGUAACUGUAAAUCUUGUUUCCAACUGAAAAACAGGAUGCUGACGAUGAAUAACUUGUGUGAAAUCAAUAGAAAGAUGGAAAAUUGGAGGAAACGAGGAAACCGGUCGCACAUUGAGCUCCAAGCUGAGAGAUUAGUGACUGACAGCUUGAGACGUCCGAUGAAGACAUAGAGGGAGUUAACCGUGGUCCACCGACAGGACUGGAGGAGGAAUUACACAUUUACGAACAUGGCGGGCACUCGUAAAUCAGCACACACACCCAACUCUGCCCAGUGGUGGCUGUCAGGCGCUGAUUUACUGCGAUUCACCGCUAAAACAUCCAUACAUGAGGGUACGGAGCGAGCGCCAAAGAAUUUAUGAAAGGAAAUAGCUCUACAUUUACUCGUGUGUUUUAUGGUAUUUUCCAGGGAAAGUGUCACGUUCCAUUCGCUCGCUGGGAAUCGAGCUGGUAGGAAACCGAUGACAACAUCUGGAUGUGAUUUUCGGGGUGAAAUAUGAAAUGCAAAGCGUUGCAGAAGCACACAGGAUGAUGGAUUGUGAUUACGGGUUUGAGUGGCAACAAUAUUUGUGGUUACUUUUGGUCAGAGCGGUUUCUGAUGAGUAUGAAAUAAAGAUCGCUACAUGUCAGGAUAGCAUGAUAAAAUGUUAUAUUAAAACAUAUAAUCAGGGAUUAAACAGGGAACAAAUAUUCACUUUCAAUUUCAUGUUUUCAAAGAUAACGAUAUUAAAUCCAGUCUAAUUAGUAAUACAUACAUUGAGCAUACUAAUAACUAACAGUUAUCAUUAAGAGCUUAGUUAGUCAAUAACUAUUUACUAAUUACUGACUAUUACAAAUCCAAUGAACUAAUAAGGAGGUUUGUUUAUAUAAAGCGAAGUAAUGAUCGG